Molecule: long non-coding RNA, 223 nt
Filed under: Homo sapiens (human)
Lineage: Eukaryota; Metazoa; Chordata; Mammalia; Primates; Hominidae
Description: HSALNT0282308
Source: RNAcentral
CCUGGGUCUCCUUGGCUUCCGGGCCCCUGCAAGAUCAUCAUUAUUCAUGAAUGGGGGUGUGUGGCUUCCAUGUUUUAACAUCUGCUUUCUGGUUGCUGGUUGUUAGUCUACCAACCACUCAACUUCAUGCAUAACUUAUAAUCAGGAAGCAUGGCCUUAACGGUUUUUCUUCGCUUCCUUGACAGCCUGGCUGCAACAAUUCAUUCAUUAGUCGCAUUCCAUG